This 22-nucleotide microRNA is filed under the name Macaca mulatta (Rhesus monkey). RNAcentral describes it as "Mml-Novel-12_5p* (star (passenger))". Lineage: Eukaryota; Metazoa; Chordata; Mammalia; Primates; Cercopithecidae. The record is from RNAcentral.
GGCUUUCUGAUGGGUGAAAAGC